AAAUUGAAGAGUUUGAUCAUGGCUCAGAUUGAACGCUGGCGGCAGGCCUAACACAUGCAAGUCGAGCGGCAGCGGGAAGUAGCUUGCUACUUUGCCGGCGAGCGGCGGACGGGUGAGUAAUGUCUGGGAAACUGCCUGAUGGAGGGGGAUAACUACUGGAAACGGUAGCUAAUACCGCAUAA
This 182-nucleotide ribosomal RNA is filed under the name Enterobacter mori. RNAcentral's name for it is "partial 16S ribosomal RNA". It matches the Rfam family "Bacterial small subunit ribosomal RNA", at positions 1 to 176 of the family's 1533-position model. Lineage: Bacteria; Pseudomonadati; Pseudomonadota; Gammaproteobacteria; Enterobacterales; Enterobacteriaceae. The record is from RNAcentral. RNAcentral also lists the same sequence under 1 other name.